Molecule: non-coding RNA, 114 nt
Filed under: Chloroflexota bacterium
Lineage: Bacteria; Bacillati; Chloroflexota
Description: Chloroflexi bacterium TPP sequence
Rfam family: TPP riboswitch aptamer (THI element)
About the family: Vitamin B(1) in its active form thiamin pyrophosphate (TPP) is an essential coenzyme that is synthesised by coupling of pyrimidine and thiazole moieties in bacteria. The previously detected thiamin-regulatory element, thi box was extended, resulting in a new, highly conserved RNA secondary structure, the THI element, which is widely distributed in eubacteria and also occurs in some archaea. Analysis of operon structures identified a large number of new candidate thiamin-regulated genes, mostly transporters, in various prokaryotic organisms.
Source: RNAcentral
GAAACUUAUUGCGGGAGCUUGGGUAAGCCAGGCUGAGAGGAAGACCGGCACGUCUUCGACCGUCCGAACCUGAUACCAGAUAAUACUGGCGAAGGGAAAGAUGCACUUCUUUAG